UCAGUUCUAAUUCUUUUUGUAUGGAAAAUGUCAAAUCCCCAAGUUUGUCGCGCCACGUCUUGAACUCUGUCCCAUUUAAUGGUCGGUGGUAAAGAUGUCAUCAAGGUUGCAACUUCUUCAGUGGCUUCGUUUUCCAGAUUGUUGCUCUUUGGCCUCCUGAGCUCCACUUGCAUGGACCGCAAGCGAUGCGGAGGCGAGACUGCCGCUCAGGCCACUGUCUCGCUGCUGGCAGGGGCGCUCAUGGGAACUCUUCAGCAGCAGAAGAAUAGGAGGAAGUUCCUCCCACCACCAGCAGCCCGAAACCCCCCAUACACACACACACACACACCACACACACACACACACACACACGCACGCACGCACAGAAUCACACAUACAUCCACGCAUACCUCACCAACCUCCACGGCCAGCAUAGGUUUGAGUGUCUGCCCGCGAUAAGGGUCGUUUGCUUCCUGAGUCCACACUGAACUUCACAUAGGUGCUACAGAUCACUUUUACAGAUACACACACACUUGUGAUGAAAGUCUGAGCGACAAGUGUGUGAAUGAGAUGGAAUUACAGUUUUUUUUUUUUUUAUUUUAACGCAGCCGAAAAAUGCAAGCGAACACCGCUUCCGGACUGUGACGCAACUCGUUCAUCCGCCUCUUCUCGCAAAGUUUCGAGUUGACUUCCUAAAGAAGAGGCAAAUCCCCUCAAACCAUCUUCCCAAGAAUGCCACGCCCUUCUCUGUCACAUCUCCAUCAACUGACUUCGAUGUUUUAUGGAUUGGCAGAGCCUCAUGCGUGCACCAGUUCCGCAUUGCAAUCAGCUCUUAAAUGCAGGAGAACAGAGGACAUACGCUUGACUACUACAGCCUCGCCACCAGUUGCCGGAUUCUUAUUUCUCAUCAGGUUCUAGUGAUAAUAUCCGGGUACUUCCUUUCCCCAUGUUAUGGGAGUACUAUUUGUGUUAGUUCAUUCUUGUUUUUCGUAACAGUUAAGUUCCUUUCAUAUUUUAGCUUGUUGCAAUUUUGUUGUCUAUUUAGAGUUUCGUUAGUUCGGUUUAUUUUACUUUUGAGCGUCUACCUCCAGUUUCACUCCAGCAUUUGUUUGUCUGUAAAUCAUUGGGUUUUCCACAUCAAUAUUUGAUGUUUUUAAUUCCUUCCUUGUUGUUUAUGCUCAGUGUUUAGCUCUUUAUGUGGUUAAACAAGUCUUGUUAUAUCAUCUAUUCUUGGUUAUUAGCUUUGGGGCUCUCAAUUUGAUAAUGUUCGCAUGAACACACAAUGCAUUGUAGAGUGCCCUGAGUGUGAAAGAGAAAAUGAAGGCAUUAAAGCAUUUUAAUUUGUGGAGGUACCCAUUUUCGUUUUUAUACUACAAGGUGUGUA
This is a long non-coding RNA of Syngnathoides biaculeatus (alligator pipefish), 1363 nucleotides long. RefSeq lists it as uncharacterized. The transcript is spliced from 3 exons. NCBI's taxonomy places the organism in Eukaryota, Metazoa, Chordata, Actinopteri, Syngnathiformes, Syngnathidae. The record is from RefSeq and is a predicted model, not a curated record.